Molecule: transfer RNA, 67 nt
Filed under: bovine gut metagenome
Rfam family: tRNA
About the family: Transfer RNA (tRNA) molecules are approximately 80 nucleotides in length. Their secondary structure includes four short double-helical elements and three loops (D, anti-codon, and T loops).
Source: RNAcentral
GAGUUAGCUCAGCCUGGUAGAGCGCUUGCUUUGGGAGCAAGAUGUCGUAGGUUCGAAUCCUAUACUC